GGUGAGGUGGCAGAGUGGUUAUGCGUGGGCCUGCAAAGCCUAUCUAUAGGGGUUCAAAUCCCUUCCUCACCU
RNAcentral lists this transfer RNA (72 nucleotides) under Thermoproteota archaeon. RNAcentral's name for it is "Crenarchaeota archaeon tRNA-Cys". It matches the Rfam family "tRNA". Rfam says of the family: Transfer RNA (tRNA) molecules are approximately 80 nucleotides in length. Their secondary structure includes four short double-helical elements and three loops (D, anti-codon, and T loops). Lineage: Archaea; Thermoproteati; Thermoproteota. RNAcentral also lists the same sequence under 1 other name. The record is from RNAcentral.